Molecule: long non-coding RNA, 1545 nt
Filed under: Apteryx haastii (Great spotted kiwi)
Lineage: Eukaryota; Metazoa; Chordata; Aves; Apterygiformes; Apterygidae
Description: lncRNA (ENSAHAG00000005512.1)
Source: RNAcentral
AUGGGAGCACCCAGGUUUUGGAUGCCCAAGCAGAUAACAAACCYACACGAUCCCCCCCCCCCCGCUCUGCUAGUCUCCAAACAGCCGCAUCGGUUUGCAAGCAGGACCCCAGACACGCUUGUGCUUUCGGCAAGAAAACCCCAGGCACAGUGGUUUGGGGUGCAGGAGCUGAGUCCUGCUGCAGAGGGGCUCGGGCAGGCAGAAAUGGGGGUGUUGGAAACCCCAGGGAGGUGCAAAGCACUGCCACUUGCACCCAACCCAAACCCCCUGCUCAGCCCCUGGCACCCAAGACACCCCAGGACACCUGGGUCCUGGCCCUCGCCCCAAAUCUGGGCUGGGAAUGGCUCUGCCAGGCAAGGGAUGGAGACACCCCAAAGGGAGCAGGACCCCCCCCAAUCCCAAAGAGCCCGGGCUGCCGGGGCCCCUCCUGCCCGUGGGCCGCACGCGGAGCCCCAGCAUGUCUGCGCCGGUGAGUCACGGGCUCCUCCCAGCCCAUCACCCAUGCAACGAGCUGAGUCAGGCAUCAGCCUGCCCUGGCACCGCUGGGGCCCYGCACCGUGGCACAGCCGGCUCCGGGGGCACACGGCUGCCCUGAUUCACCGCCCCGAGCCCCUGGGGGUGGUUUUUAGGGUCAAAUCCUGCCAAACAGGGACUGGAGCCCAAGGGAGCCUGAAGCCCAAGCUGCAUCCCCACAUCCGAGCCUCAGUUUCCCCAGCUGGGARGCGGAAACCACCACUUGCUCCAGGCUCAGCCCAGGGUGAUGCAGCUUUUCGGAGGUGGAUGAUUUCGAGCCGCUGGGGAUGCCGGGACCAAGCCCUCCAUCCUGGCGAGACACCCAGCACCCYGGUUUGCUUAAAAUACAGCCAGAAAACAACCAAUGCAUCCCAAACACAGGGCUCUUUGCUCCUGUUCGGGUUCUCCAGUGUCCCUUUUCCCAGCAAGGAGCAAAACCAGAAAAGCUUUAGCACAGCGAGCCGGGAUGCAGGGAGCAGGGCCAGCGUCGGAGCCGGGGCUCGGACCAGGGGCAGCACUUUUAUUUGCCACCAGCCUGGCAAGAAAGGGAAGAGGUGGGAACGGCGGGUCCCAGCGCAGCAGCAAAGGGGGUUUCGGCAGGAAGUAAGUGGGAAGUGCCGUGAUGCCGGGGCCACCAGCUCCCCCCCGGCACGGGGUAACACUGAAACCUCUUAUCGCGGCAGGCCCCGGGCGGCACCGCACCCUGCCCACACCAAAGCGCUGCCUCCUUCCCAACACCAUCCGUGCCCGCCCCGACAGGCUCCUGCCACUCUGCAGGAGGCAGAGGAGGCUUUUUGGGGUGUCCCCCCCUGGAAAGGGGGUUAUUUGGGGCACGAGUGUCAGGACCAAGCUGGGGUUGUGCUUUUGGAGGGGUYGGGGGUUUUGCACCAACUCUCCAACCCCUGCAGCUUGCAAACCACCUCCCCAAGCCCUCGGAGCAAGCCCGGCAGCAACGCCAGGGCUCAGCCUCCAGCCCCUGCCUCAGUUUCCCCACUGUGGUGCAGGAAGGCACCAAUUUGUGUCCGUUGCUGA